UACGUAGGGUGCGAGCGUUGUCCGGAAUUAUUGGGCGUAAAGGGCUCGUAGGCGGUCUGUCGCGUCGGGAGUGAAAACUCAGGGCUUAACCCUGAGCCUGCUUCCGAUACGGGCAGACUAGAGGUAUGCAGGGGAGAACGGAAUUCCUGGUGUAGCGGUGGAAUGCGCAGAUAUCAGGAGGAACACCGGUGGCGAAGGCGGGUCUCUGGGCCGUAACUGACGCUGAGGAGCGAAAGCGUGGGGAGCGAACAGG
This 253-nucleotide ribosomal RNA is filed under the name uncultured bacterium. Its description in RNAcentral is "partial 16S ribosomal RNA". It matches the Rfam family "Bacterial small subunit ribosomal RNA", at positions 524 to 776 of the family's 1533-position model. The record is from RNAcentral.